CAAAGGCCGCACGCACGUGCAUGAAGCUGUGGCCUCUGGGAAUCUGGCACUGUUCUACAAGUUGGUGGCACGCCUUCUCCGCGACAAUGGCAGCAGGCUCCUUGAAUCGUGUGACCACGUUGGGCAGACAGCACUGCACUAUGCGUGCAUGCUACGGCAGGAACUCGUAGUGGGCGUGUUGUGCGAGGCAGGUGUACAGCGGGACGUGCGAGAUAAGGACGGUGCCACAGCCAUGCACCUGGCUGCAGAGCGAGGAGGCCAUUCCUGUGUUGAGCAGUUGCUGG
Rhipicephalus sanguineus (brown dog tick) is the source of this 284-nucleotide long non-coding RNA. RefSeq lists it as uncharacterized. Lineage: Eukaryota; Metazoa; Arthropoda; Arachnida; Ixodida; Ixodidae. The transcript is spliced from 3 exons. The record is from RefSeq and is a predicted model, not a curated record.